This 65-nucleotide transfer RNA is filed under the name Nesophrosyne sp. 15 GMB-2012. Its description in RNAcentral is "tRNA-Ala". Lineage: Eukaryota; Metazoa; Arthropoda; Insecta; Hemiptera; Cicadellidae. The record is from RNAcentral.
GGGGUUAUAUUUAACUAUAAUAUUUGAAUUGCAAUCAAAAGGUACCUAUCUUAAGGUUAAUCUUU